GGGGGCGUAGCUCAGAUGGUGGAGCGCUCGCUUAGCAUGCAGGAGGUACCGGGAUCGAUACCCUGCCCCUCCAGAUGCCUUUUUUUGCACUAACAUA
Molecule: transfer RNA, 97 nt
Filed under: Trichonephila clavipes
Lineage: Eukaryota; Metazoa; Arthropoda; Arachnida; Araneae; Nephilidae
Description: alanine tRNA
Rfam family: tRNA (bases 1-73)
About the family: Transfer RNA (tRNA) molecules are approximately 80 nucleotides in length. Their secondary structure includes four short double-helical elements and three loops (D, anti-codon, and T loops).
Source: RNAcentral